CGUCGUUCGUUGCAUAAAAAUAAAUUUUAAAGUUGAACAUUCGUCACAAGAUAUAUGACCACCCGUAUUAUCAUAUGAUACUCCGCUGUAUUUCGUUUCCAUCGCCCAGAUAAUCGAUGCCAAUCCGAUUGGAUAUCUCACGUAGCAGCCGUGGCGGUGGUAUUCGUCGAACACUUUCGCUCCAGCUACAUAAAUACGGGCUCGACCUUUCUCUUGGUGGAACAAGUCUACUUCGUCGUUCUCGAUGACUCGUAGGGCAUCGGUAGAUAAGAUAAGAGAAAGAGAGAGAGAGAGUGAGAGAAGAAGAGUGGAAAAUACGGAGUUGGUAACCAUUAAAACAAAACCGAUUCCGUGAUCCAAGGAGACUUGCUUCAAGAUUUCUUAGUCACGAGCAAAGCUUAUGUAACUUUGCUUUGUCUGCUUUUCAAUGGUUUCAUGUUUCAAUAGAUUCUAUAUUCUUUUAUUUUUUAAAAAACUGGAGUAUAAAAUUCUUCAACUUUUUAUUUAAUUUUAAAUGGGUCAGUCAUUCCACUGUAUCUUUGAAAUAUUUUAAAUAUCGUCAUACAAUUUGAUCAAAACUUCUUUCACCAAUCGUGAAAAAUAAAAUUUCUGUCACCAGUCGUGAAGAAUAAAAUAUCACAGACACAGAAAUUGCAAGCAAAUAUUAUUCGUGUUACGUGACUUAUCGAAUUCACUCCUUUGCAGUGAAUUGCCAUGUCUAAUGGAUAGAUAGACCUCGCAAGGAAACUUUCUCCGAUAGGGAUACAGCUCGUGAUCGGUCACUCGGCCAUUGUCGUUUGACGCAUGGGGUUCUGAACAGCCAUCCAAUAUCGUCACGUGGACUUUCUACGAGUUAUCUCAUCCAAGUUCGAGCACGAAUUUUCACAAAGCACAAAACUGUGCUGAAAUAUUCUCUUAGUAUAGUAUAUCUAUAUAUAAAUAUACGUAUCGUCGAUCUGUCUUUCACUUUGAGAGCCAGAAUGCGCGAAGGCAUCAUCAUCACGCGUGGCUGAUGGCAUGCCGCGCGAGAACGGACUUUCCCUUCUAACCUUACGAUCUUACUUCCACGCGAAGUAAGAAAACCGAGUCUUCUUUUCUCUUUUCCAACCAUCUUCUGCUCACCCACGAACGUACGUGAACAUCUCGAUGUGCUACCUAAAAGGCGACCGUCGUUGGAAAAUGUGUUAAUUAAUUAUCUCCCAUGCGACUAUCUCUUCUGUGCUGUGCUAAUCGGAAUUAUAAAGGAAGAGAAUUCUUUCUUUUUUCUUCGAGUGUAACCUCGAUCUAUCUAUCGAGAUAAACUGCGAAGUUAAAAAUGUUUUAAUUAUUAUUUUAUUUUGAUCAAUUGAGUUCAAAGUUAUUUGAAACGGAAUUUCGAUAAUAAAAAUUAUAAACAUUUCGUUAUGUUCCUAAUAUCUCAAAUUUUGUGAAUAAAUGAAUUAAAACGAAUGAAGAACGAAGUUCAAUUAUUAAAUGAAAAAUAAAUACCAAAAAUGAAAGAAUUCGAAUGAUAGGUAGAAUUUUUUGAUUAGCUCCUCUUAUUUUCUUUCUUUUUUCUCUUGAUUUCACCUACGUUCAUACGUAUAUGCAUAUACUUUGGAAAAACUUCGACGACAUCACGGUAUACGAGCAACGUCAGAAAGUUGGUCUCUCUUAUUACGAAAGUUUUUCGGUAGCGUGGCGUUUUUCCUAAACCACGGAAACUUUGCAAUCGAGUGAAGGUGAACAGGGUGGAGAUGGGGAAUGCCACGUGAAAAAUAGUUUCGGCGUAGGAGCUUUCUACGAAGAGUAAAAGUCACGUCGAAGAAGAAUCUUCACUCUUUUACUGGUCGCCUACGAAAAAUUUUAUUUACGAACCACGUGGUUUAAAGUUUUCUCGAGCUUCCUUGUACUACCCGAGAGUCAGAUGAGUUGAGCUUGGGUAGAAACCGCUACUAUUUUUACAAUUUCUUCUUCUAACGAAAGAUUAAUGAUUAAGUUCUAUCUCAAAAAUUUCAACAUUCGGAAUAGUCCCAAAGAAAGAAAAAUGAAAGACGGAACAAUUCACGGUUGAUUAAAACAUUUUCUUUUUUCCUACAAUCUUACGCUAUGAGAAUCAAAGUUAAAUAGAAGGGAUUCAAUUCAGUGUUUAAUUCAGACUUCAAUAAAAAAAAGUGUUUUUGAACCUAACAGAGUAUUCACAAAUGCCAAAUGAAAAUGCGAUUUUAAUGUUAAUUCGUGUGAGGGGAACUUAAUUAUUCCGUUUUUUUUUUUACGAAGAUUUAUUUGAGGUUCUCUCCACUUUUGAAAGUUUAACAAUGACAAGCUACCAAAAUAAAGCUCGUGAGUUAUACUACCUACGCAUGCUUGACGAAGAAACUAUUUUUAUCUUAACGAUACCAUACAUUCUGCACUUUAUACGUCGUCUCCUCUCCCCUCUCUUGAUGUACGUCGACCUUGACAUUUUCCCUAUAAGCGCACGUCGUGUAAGCGAGAUUGAAACAUCCACGAAAGAUCGACUUAGAUCGAUACCCGUCUAUUUUCCAAAUCAUCCCAUCGAUCUUCGAGAACGAAUAUGUUCUUAGGUAAAUCCAGUGAUCAAAUUAUAUCAGCAUCAACUUAUACGAAGACUUGUUACUAGCGAGAGGUGUUAAUGACACGAUACUUGACAGUAGAAAAAGCAGAGACCGUCAUUUUCGAGUCCACAAGAAAGAACAAAAGGCGAGGAAGAAGACUCUUCAAGAUUCCCAUUCCUGGAACGCUGGUGAUUUCUAAUUGAUCGUAAAAGGCGAAGCUCCGCGAUCGUGUCCUCGAUAUUUCACGAGCACGGUGAAAGAAGAAACGCACUCGUCGACUACGCACGAGAAUCUCGUCGUACCAGAUCAAGGACGAGGUUUCUCAGUGUCUCAAUAUGUCGAGAAACCCGAUUCGGAGGCCUUGUACCACUUAAAUUCGGACACUUCCUAAGCUGGAAAUCAGGAAACGCGAAUCGUUCUCUCUCAUUCUUAACCAAUUCGACGAAGGGGAAAAGAAAAAAGAGGAAAAGCGAGUUGUGCAGGUGCCGAUCGAAAGGUCGUGUCUCCGUGGAAAAAAGGAAUGCUUGGAAGAGGGAAGAAAAGGUCGAACGUCAAUCCUGAAGUGGAACGAAACGAUAGAAGAGAAGGAAGGUUGUAAUCUAUCUUUCUCUUCCUUUCUCUCUCUCUCUCUCUCUCUCUCUCUCUCUCUCUCUUUCUUUCACAUAUACAAACGUACACUAAUACAUUCUGGCACUAAUAAAUUAAUAAAAUUAGCAAUCCGCGCUAUCGGCUGGGAAUAACACGAGCGUAAGAAUCGAACCUCAUUAAGCAGGCUCGUUUCUUCUAGCCGGUAAUUAAAUGCGACCAAAGGAAAGGAAAAACGCUGGAUAAGGUACAUCGCUCGCGAAGUAGGCCUCCCGCAUUUAAUUGUAUCGCGCCUCGUUAGGUCGUCCCACAACGGGUCGACCUUUGGGUUCUGUGUGCGUGUGUGUUUGUUUCAGGGUUCACAAGAAUGCAAGAGACACUACGUAUUACGAUAGGUCGAGGUGAUGAAAAAAAAAAGAAAGAACCAGGAAGAAAAGAAAAAAAAGAAAUCGGGUGCAAAGACCUGCUUGCUGCUAGAUAGACGUGAUUAUGGAAACGAGAGAGAGAGAGAGAGAGAGAGAUGGAGAAAGAGUGAAAGAGUCCCAAGUCUUGUGGAAAGAGUAGAAUUGCGGUCCAGCCUAGUUUUUUAAAAAAUGCGAAACAAGUCUGUGGUCUAGUUUAUUGAACGGAUACGACAGCUUCUUCCUCUUGAAAAGGUUUUGAUUUCGUCGGCAAGUUCAUAGAAAAUACGGAAAGGAAAGAAUAUCAGAAGGCAGAAAUAGAGAGACGCCACAGUUCGGUAAGUAGUUACUGCUUAAGUUUUACGAAAAGUCGUACUAUUGCAGAAUCGGAAGUCAUAAUCCCGGAAUGUAGAGUUUUGAUGAUCUUAGAAAGGCUCGUGAAUAUAGUAACAAACUACAUCCCGUUUCUUGCUGACGUAGUCUUUAAACGAAGCAGCCGUCUUCUUCCUUUGGGACCAUACCGAAAUCCGAAACUUAUUUCGAAGACGAAUGAAAAGUCCGAAAGCAUUUCUACGGCAUAAGCGAGAAAUUGAAAGGGUUCAUUCUAUCUGGGUCCACCUUAUCCACAAGUAAUAACGUGCCAUAUAUCUAUACACCUAUUGGUAUAUACAGACCGGACAGAAAGUUGUGAAAUAGAACUUGAUAAAAGCAAAACAAAAUCGAGUACUUAUACGAGCGAAAUAGAAAAGAAAUGGAACUAUCGAUUUUAUAAUAAAAGAAAUAAUUCAUCAUAUUUUCUGACAAAUAUUUGAGAUAUUGGUAUAUUCCCACUCAUCGUUUUUUUCUCGUUUUAUCUUCUCUCAUAUGUUUACGCGAAAUGAUCAUAGUGCUAUUUUUUUUCUCGAGUACCUGUGAUACGUUUUUUUCUGUCUGUCUCCAUGUCUCUUUAUUUAAACGGUUAGCCGAGUCUCGAAAGACUAGCACCUAUUGCCAACGAUCAUUCCUUUGUGCAACGCACGUCUCUGAAUCGCCUUGAAAGUUCGAACGGGAAAGGUUACACACCGCUAUUCUGCGCGUUAAGAAGCAGGAUUUGAUUAAACGCUGCAGUAAUAGAUGAAAAUUAUUAUCGGUCGUUCGCUAUCCUCUUUUCUACUGGA
Molecule: long non-coding RNA, 4698 nt
Organism: Vespula vulgaris
Lineage: Eukaryota; Metazoa; Arthropoda; Insecta; Hymenoptera; Vespidae
Exons: 4
Source: RefSeq, a predicted model, not a curated record